UUUUCUUUUACAAAAUUUAGAUUGUGAAACUCUUCUAACACCUGAUUUUGUACUUCACAGAUACUUGAGGAAGAAAGCUGCAAAUACACAGUAAGAUUAGAUCUUAUGUACAUUACAUAGGAUAGAGAGGUUCACAUCCAACACAGACUGCUAGUGACUGAAACUCAUUACCAUCUAAAGGCUGCUGGAUAGUCUUGUGAAAUGAAUUGCUAGACUCAGUCCACUAACAAGAAAGAAGGCUCCUGCAUAACAAAAACCACUGCUGCAAAAGGCUGUAUGUCCAUCAUCCCCAGGAGUGGUCCCUCAAGCAGAGAAGGUUAACUGGGCUGUCCAGUGUGUGUUGGUUUUAAGGUGUGAACAGGGGAACAACAAUGACUGAGAUAAGACCACCAAAGUUCAUUUCACUUAGUGUUGGACCACAAAUAAGAAAUCUGCCAGAAUCCUGGAGGCAAAGACACGGUAGGGACUCGAAACACUGACUCCCUUUGCUGUGAAGGAAACAACUGCCUGAUAGAAUGCAACAUUUUUUAUUAGGUGUGUGAAUCACUAUGACGCACAGUUAUUGAAAUACCAUCAAACAGCACAGUCUCAUCAAAUUACAUUAGCUGUUUGCCUUGGCAAACAGGAUACAGACUUACUAAGAUCAGUACUUUGGCCAAGCAUCAUAUGCAUUAAAAUCUGUGGCAAAUUAUACUUUUUUCUCAAUUCUCUUGCAAGAACAUGGGGCUUCUCUAUAGCAUGUUGCCUCAGGCUUAUGACUAAUUUGGAAAAAACAAACAAACAAAAACCCCCAAACUCUCCUUUGACUAUUCUCUGUGUGUAAUGGCUUGGUUGAGUUCUGAGCAUGGGAGGUGAGCACAUUUGCUAAGCUACAUGCACAGCUUUCAUUAAAGUGGGUCUGCAAAAGGUAUUUGAAUUAAACUUGGAGUGAAGGGGUGUACCAGGCAUUU
Molecule: long non-coding RNA, 950 nt
Organism: Mauremys reevesii (Reeves's turtle)
Lineage: Eukaryota; Metazoa; Chordata; Testudines; Geoemydidae
Exons: 4
Source: RefSeq, a predicted model, not a curated record